UAUGGAACCAAAAAAGAGUCUACAUAGCCA
This 30-nucleotide non-coding RNA is filed under the name Homo sapiens (human). Lineage: Eukaryota; Metazoa; Chordata; Mammalia; Primates; Hominidae. The record is from RNAcentral.